GACGAAGGAUGCAAGCGUUAUCCGGAUUCAUUGGGUUUAAAGGGAGCGUAGGUGGCCUUAUAAGUCAGUGGUGAAAUCUCUGGGCUUAACCCAGAAAUUGCCAUUGAUACUGUAGGGCUUGAGUAUAGUUGCCGUUGGCGGAAUAUGACAUGUAGUGGUGAAAUACAUAGAGAUGACAUAGAACACCGAUUGCGAAGGCAGCUGACGAAACUAUAACUGACACUGAGGCUCGAAAGUGCGGGGAUCAAACAGG
Molecule: ribosomal RNA, 253 nt
Filed under: uncultured bacterium
Lineage: Bacteria
Description: partial 16S ribosomal RNA
Rfam family: Bacterial small subunit ribosomal RNA
Source: RNAcentral